This 27795-nucleotide long non-coding RNA is filed under the name Linum usitatissimum (flax). RNAcentral describes it as "long non-coding RNA (LUSI_LNC007995)". Lineage: Eukaryota; Viridiplantae; Streptophyta; Magnoliopsida; Malpighiales; Linaceae. The record is from RNAcentral.
UUGGACCAAAAUAUUACCACAUCUAGGACUUAUAAAUACCAGCUCUUCCUCUCCAUGUCUCUCUCAAACUGAAACCCACUUCCCUUGCAACGUUAACAUUGUCAAUUUGGGAGAUUUCGAUCCAAACAUGUCCAACUUGAAGUGUUUAGCCCUUUUGGGCUUGCUUGUUUCGAGCUUAUUUGUGGGGAGCACCGAGAGCCGGCCCGCAAGGAAAGACUUGGGUUUGGACCUUGGUGGGAUAGGACUUGGAGUUGGAGUUGGGUUAGGGAUUGGCCUCGGUGGUAGUGGGUCGGGUUCUGGAGCUGGAGCCGGAUCGAGUGGUGGGUCCUCGUCAAGUUCGAGCAGCUCAUCUUCAUCGUCUAGUUCUGGAUCUGGUGGUGGUGGUUCAGGUGCUGGAUCUGAGGCCGGUUCGUCUGCAGGAUCCAGAGCAGGUUCUGGAGGUGGAGGUGGUGGUGGCGGUGGAGAAGGAUAUGGGGGCGGUGGUGGGUCUGGUCGUGGGUCUGGAUAUGGAGAAGGAUCUGGGUCGGGUAAUGGUCAUGGGAGAUGAAUAAUAAUACUAUGACACGAAAAGCAAUGAAUAUGAAUAAAAAAAAUGUUAACAAGAAAUGUUGUGAGGGAGUCUAAUUAUGUAAGAUGUGUUAUCUAGCACUUUGUUUUCCCAAUAACUUGUGUCAAAAUGUUGUUGUUAGUACUUUUGAUGUUUUGUUCCUUUCUAAUGAAAUAUGUUAUCUGUAGCAUGUUUGUCUUUGUAAUGCCAUCCCUCACUUUAAUGGAACAAAUGGAUCUUUGUUUGGCUGUCUUAAACCUUUGUCUUAGGGUUCCAUGGCGAAUGAUUAUGCAGUGUUAUUUGCAAUGUAAGGGUUCGGUCGCAUUACAUCGUAAUUUUUUUUAUUGAAUAUAUUUCUNNNNNNNNNNNNNNNNNNNNNNNNNNNNNNNNNNNNNNNNNNNNNNNNNNNUUUGAAAACCUCCCAAUUAAUUAAUGACGAUUUUGGAUUAGACUUCAAAUCGCUAUAGACCCACCGGUGAUGAUUUGAAAUCCAUUCUCACACUAACAAAUAAAAUAAGAGAUAAUCAUGUAAACCCAUUACAAAUUACCCACCAAAUCAAAUAACUAGUUAUAGAAAAACAAUAACUAUUAGUUACAAAUAAAUGUGUUUAGUAUCUACACAAUGUAAAUAGUUAUACUAGUUACAAAUCGUUAUAACUAGUUAAGAAAUUUAUUUGAAUCCUGUUCGGAGUCUUACCAAUGAUUAUACACUAAGUUUGCUAGCAUACAUAGCAUGACCAUCCAUGUUCUCUACCGGUUUCGAUAUCUUUUUUACCUAAUAAUUUAAUUUGGUCUUCUUAAUUAUAUAUAUCUGCUGUUUUUAUAAUAACAUAACGUUACUCCACUCCAUGUACCUAUCAUCACUCAUCUCCUUCCAUAAUUACAAAAUAAAAAUUAAAUUAUAAAAUUAUUGAUUUGGGUUCCACUACUCCAAGUUCAUGAAGCUUCCAUACAUUACAACUGGACUAACAAAUGGGUGACGGGAGUAGACAACUCUUUUAUCCUUUUUAAGGUAGUCUGAAAUAUUAAUUAUGAAAAUCGAAACAAACAUCGUUCAAUCUAUUAAAUAAAAAGUAUGGAUGAGUAUCUCUUUAUUAGUGAGUGACUCGAAAACUUUAAUUGUUGUGCAAGCACAUGAACAACCUUGUUAUUAUCUCUCCUCACAAAGCUAACCGUAAGAUUCGGUUUUGAAUCUAGAAUGACUCGGCAUCUUCGUAUAAUAUCGCCAAACUCUAUACGGUACUCAAACUGUCUGAUUCAUCGCGUAAACCACCACAUGUGCGUCUGCUUCAAUGACCACUCGAUCCAAUUGCAGCUCCACACACCAUUUUAAGCCCUCCCACAUAUGCAGUGCGUCCAUGGCCGCCGCCACCGUCCNNNNNNNNNNNNNNNNNNNNNNNNNNNNNNNNNNNNNNNNNNNNNNNNNNNNNNNNNNNNNNNNNNNNNNNNNNNNNNNNNNNNNNNNNNNNNNNNNNNNNNNNNNNNNNNNNNNNNNNNNNNNNNNNNNNNNNNNNNNNNNNNNNNNNNNNNNNNNNNNNNNNNNNNNNNNNNNNNNNNNNNNNNNNNNNNNNNNNNNNNNNNNNNNNNNNNNNNNNNNNNNNNNNNNNNNNNNNNNNNNNNNNNNNNNCCCCCCCCCCGGCCGUUUGAAGCUAUGGUUUCAACGGCGACGUCCACCACCUGUUUCGCAAUAUGUUGAUGAUGACUUCCACACCCUCUCAUUACCUCCACGCCACAACGCCCAAAUGAUGGCGAUCAUUUAUUUACAUUGCACUUCGCUCGCCUGCUUCAAAAUCAACAUGAUCCAUUCGGCGAGUGAUUCACAACGGUCCCUAGUUUGCUCAACUAUUGUCGCCAUAGCUUCCUUCCAACGUUCCCACGCAAAGCCGCACUCCAAGAACAAAUGCCAUCCGUUCUCUACCUCCAUCAUACACGUCCCACACUCCCAAGGCACUACAACAUGCUUUUCCUGAAGACUAGACCUCGUCGGGAGCACUCCUCUACUCGCACGCCACGCAAAGUGUUUAAGUUUGGGAGUAUAAAGAAUUGAUCUCUCCAAAGGGAAUUAGUAUUCCUCUCGACUGGGAGUUAGGGUUUUCUGUAAUAAAAUUUCUCGACAAGGGUUUUUCUUCCCCGAUUUCCACACUCGACCAAUCAUUCCUCUAUGGUGACCAGGGGCACGUGACUCAACUCUCUAAGCACCAGAAUGAAGAACAAUUGAAGAUACUACCUUCCCUUAGCAUGUUCCCAUAAAGGAGCUGUUUUAUGGCACCAAGUUUGAUAGGUUUCCUUCAGUUUUAUUUUGAGAUAGGGUCUUUUGCCAUGUACUUUAGUUUCCAGUUUCUUUGUUUGUUUUUGUGCUUUCGCUAUGAGUUAUGAUUUGAUUGAAUUGUCUUGAUGGUUUGCGUAAGGAGUAGGGGUGUUUUGAUUAUCAAAGGAAUUGAGUCUAUGUAGUUUUGUUUGUAAGGUAUACACCUCCUGUCAGUGUUUGGCAUGAGCGAUAUGAUCGAACAAAUUUUGAUGAAUGAAAUGGGCAUAUUUUAAGUUAAAAAAGAUUACAAUAUAAAUCUCGUCUUAUUUCCUCGCCUACUCUAGGGAUGACUCCUCCGAGAGGAUUAAGCAUUCUGUUAUUGAUUUGUGCUACGGUUUUAGGUUAGCUAAGUAAUUAAUUUGCAGUCGGAUUGCCUUCCCGACAAAGAUGCUCAGCCUUGAUCAACCAGUCUCAAUUCAAGGUGGAGCAUAGUUGGUUGCGUUGUGUACUGCCAACCUGGAACGUUCUGAAUUCCAAUCAAUCAUACCCCACAUAUUGACACCAGACAUUUUUUCCGUUUCCUAUCUCUUGUCAUGUCAUGUUUUCUAGGUCUAUUUUUGACAAAAAAACUUAUCUCAAUCAGACAAUCAUAAAAACUAGCGACCUCAGAAAAGUGUUGGUGCGUUCUCAACCUCCACUGGUAAUAAAUAAAUAGCAUCAAGUGAAUCCAACUACACACAUACUUUCUGGAAGAUACACCGGUACAAGCUCGUUUCCUGACUCAUUUCAUCCGUGUUACGAUUGCGUGCAUCACUACUUCUACCACUCAAGUUCAGUGGAAUGGAGCUUUGACAGAUUCUUUCAAACCAGGACGCGGAUUAAGGUAGGGAUGUCCUCUUUCUCCCUAUCUUUUCACUUUUUGUAUUGAACGGCUUUGUCAUACGAUUAUAUCUUGCCUUGAUGAUGGUAGUUGGAGCCCUAUUUUCCUUAGUCGUAAUGGUCCUCUUCUCUCUCACCUCUUUUUUGCUGAUGACUCAAAUCACUAUAUGUGUAUAUGUCAAUUUUCAUCAAUCUUCAUAAAGAAAUAAAAAAGAUUCUACUUUGAAAUUGCAAAUCUUCAACACUCAUAAAUCUUGCUGGUCAUAUAAGACUUGCUAUAUUUAUCCUAUAAUUCACAUGAUUAUAUUCUAGCCCUACUCAAAUGAUAUAAACUUAAAUCAUAUAUAAUGUUUUUCAAGAACAUAAAAUCUCAUGUUAUUUUAUUUGAGAAAGUGAAGACAUAAACAAUGAGUUAUGUGAUAUGUCAUUACCAAUAUUAUAUUUGUUGGUUGACCAAUUGGUCCCAUGUGGCAAUUUUAUCACUUGGUUAUUUGUGAAACCAACUUAUAAAACUACACCAUCAUUUAAAAAUAUGAUCAUUUAGAUCAUGCAUGAUAUUUAUUUUAUAUAUAUAUUCUUGAAUUUAAAGAAAAUGGUGUAAUGUAAUGUUAUGAUUAUGCACCAUUUUUUCACUAAGUUUUUAUCCUAUAAGGUUUUCCUAGUAAGGUUUCGAUGAGAAAUAUUCUCAUUUAAUUGUCAUCCAAGGAGGAGCGUUAUGCAAAUAUUGAUUAUAGAUGACAAUUGAUCAUAUUGAUGCAUACAUUAUACACACAAACUCCGGUGAGUUAAAAUCAUGGUCAAACAAGUGCGCUCAAGUGAUAACUUGACUGGUUUCUUUACCAAGGCUCUAUCUACAUCAAUUUUUAGGAAAGUCAUCAUCAUCGGGAGGAGUCGAUACGCGCUACACUUUUUUCCCUUAACCAUAAUUUUUCCCAUUGAGUUUUCCUGAUAAGAUUUUUAAUGAGGUGGCCUCAAAAGCGUAUUUCAAGAAUGAUAUAUAUUUUUAACCACUGGUCAUUCAAGGGAGGGUGUGAUAAAUAUUAAUAUUAUGUGUAAUGAAUGACCAUUGUGUAACUCCUAUAUGAAUGCCAUUCAUUGUCUUUCAUUUUUCCAUUCAAGUGCGAUGACAUAGUCAUAUAAGAGUUAUAUCUUGAGCUUAUCAAUAGUGUUCUAAACAUUGUAAAAGAUAAACAUCAACAAGAAUGAUUCUCCUCCCUUUUUUUAUUGUCUUUUUCUCGUUAAUUAGUUCUAUAACCCUUACGAGUAAAUGUAUUUUAGGUAAAGCUAGCUAGAACUUUCAAAUAAAGACAUUUGCUUGCAAAAUUGUUUUAUUUUGGGCUAUGGUUUUAAUGAAGACCACUCAAAUCUAAAGAGAAUCCCAACUACCAUAAUCUCAACCGUUAGUUAUGUUUAUGGUAUAUAUUAUUCAAAAUAAAAUAAAAAAAGGCACGAGUUGGUAAUAUAGCCUUGUUCCAUCUGGCCUAUAUUUAGGCACUCUACUUCAGAUGGCCGUCCUCACUCUUUGAAAUCCCAUUUGUCAUUCACCAACAGUACCUCCAAAAAAAAAUCUAUAGGAAUGAGGAAUAUAUCCUUCUAUAAUCUUAAUAAUCAUAUGAAUUGUGUAGUUUGUUGGCACGCUUGCUUUGUUGGGUUGUUCGAGAGAGAAUCUCGAACAUACCCUGGUAGCAUGUAAAUAAACAGAAGUAAUUAAUGAGAGGAAGAGAAUAUACAUAUAAGCGGUUGAUGUUUAAAAAGAGAUCGAUAUGAUUAGGAAAACUUACCGAGAAGAUCCGCAUAUAUUAUAUAGGCAUAUGUGAUAGGUGAUACAAAAUCAACGAUCUAAAAUAGUCUUCUUGUUUCAGAAUUAGGAUUCAUGUAUCAUGUGACAAUGCUAAUUAGCUGGAUCACCCGAACUGAUCCAAGCAACAACAUAAAUAGACUCUGAAAAUUAAACCUUAGUAUAUAUUGUUUCGGAUACCAUACCUUGAGAUCGAUGCUUAACAACUUAGCUAGUUGAUUUCAGAAUUUGGAAAACUGACUCGGAUUCAAUUUUAAUCGUCGGAACGGCUCAAGUUAUAGCACUAGGUGUCGUCGAGCCUGGACUAUCCGUAACAUAAAUACCCAACUUUCAGACUUAAUGAGAGUCAAACCCCAGCCGCUACCGUAGCUGUUGUAGUCGUAGCUUCUUUGAUCUCCUUUAUCUUUUCGAUUUUAUCUUGGAUUUUUGCUGUAAUGUUUCCUCGUGGCUUUCUUUUUCGGAGGGAAAAUUGCACUCUCGCCGAGAGUUCUCCUCAUCUUUGGAAACCCUAGCCGCAAUUGUCGAAGCCGUCGUCAUCAUGACUUCGCCACAACCAUCACGUCUGUCAAGAAAUAGUGCAGAUGCGAUCUUACAACUUCCGAUCCAAGAGAGACGGAAGUUAAAGCCAGGUUCUCGAAAUCACCCAGGAAACUCAGCUAAACCUCCACCUCCUCAUCCGCUACCGGUCUACCCCAAAGUUUGACUGUUUGUUCCGUCUAUUAGCUAGAAUUAUGAUAUGUCCUUUUAUUAUUGUAAUUUGCUGUUGGCACUUUUUCUAUUCCUCUUGUCGUUGCUGAUGAGUGAGGAACGAAGUUAUCGUUUUUGCGGGGACCUACGAUAAAUACAGUUCCGUUUGUUGAGUCUAUAUUUCCAGUGGGCAUGUUUUGUACGCUCGUUAUGGAACGUCUUUUGAAAUAAAAUAUCAAGUUUUAAUAUAAAAAAAAACAAUAAUCUUGACCACGACAUCUAAACAACUUCCAAUUGUCACAAAUUCCAAACUUUGUAGCACAUCUAUCAAACUUGCAUUUAUCAUAAGUUCAUUAACUAAUCAUUCUUUUUAGAGAAAAUACACAUUUAUACUCUUACAUUAUACAAAAUAUACAUCAACAUCCCUCUAUUAUAUUUUAAUUCAUUUAACUCCCAAACUUUAACAAAGUUUAUAAUCAAGCCCCCCCAUUAGAUUUUCGUUAAACAUCUCAAGCAGGUGUGUGCUGCUGACUAUAUUUUUCACUAAGGAAAAUUAACGAAUUUGAAUAAUUAUUAAGAGGAAGAUGAAACAGUAUUUUAUUUUUAAAAAGUAAAAUUUAACUNNNNNNNNUUUUAAAAAGUAAAAUUUAACUUUAAUUUUUAUUCAAAUUAAAUAAUUUUUCUUAGUGAUAAAUACAGUUAGCAGCUCACAUAAAUCUGAGUUGGUAUGUCACGUCAACAUAUUUAAUGAACAAGAAUAUAACGAAAGAACCUGUUUAUAAAUUUUAUUAAAGUUUAAAUGCUAAAUCGAUUAAAAUAUAAUAAAAAAAUGUCGUUGUAAACUUUACAUGAUAAAUAUUUAUUUUCCCUUCUUUUUAAUAAAACAAUUUCACCGCUAUUAUUAAUUAUUUAACGCGUUAACGUGUUAUUAGUUGGCGCCUUCCCACCCUCUGCUAUAUAUUUCCCCUUCUCUUCUUUCCUUCCUUUAGCAGGUGAAGAAAGAAAAAACACGAUUAUCAAUUUUUUUCUUCACCUCUCAAAACAUAGAAGAAAAAUUCCGCCAUUGUUUCCUUCCUUUGCAUUUGCUUAGCUCAAAGCCUCAAACUUUCCCUUCAUCUAGUACGGCCGGUGGCGGCAUCGACGGCGACGGUAACGACGGAGAAAAACAAGAAGAAACUUCAGAUCUAGAAAAGCCAGAGAUGCCAUCGUUAGAGGAGGAGCUUUUCCCAUCUACUCCGGGAAAAUUCAAGAUUGACCACCACCGUAGCCACCGCCAAUUCCACCGAUGCUUCUCCUCCACCAGCACGAUGUUCCUCUGGGCUCUGUUCCUCAUCGCCCUAACAGCAUCCUAUCUUAGCUUCCAGAGCUUCGUCGAUUCGGGAAGCCGCUACUUCUCCGCCUCAUGGGGCGGAAUCCAGUGGGAGAGGCAGGUUCGUAACUCCGCCCAGAUCCACCGGUCCGGGGGGAUGUCGGUGCUCGUCACCGGCGCCGCCGGAUUCGUCGGCACUCACGUCUCCUUAGCGUUGAAAAAGAGAGGAGACGGCGUGGUAGGGAUUGACAAUUUCAACAACUACUACGACCCGUCUUUGAAAGAAGCCCGUAAAUCGAUGGUGGAAGCCCAAGGAAUUUUCAUAGUCACCGGGGACAUAAACGACGCCAAGCUGCUGAAAAAACUAUUCGACGUCGUUCCGUUCACCCACGUGAUGCACCUGGCAGCCCAGGCCGGUGUUCGUUACGCGAUGGAGAAUCCUCAUUCUUAUGUGCAUUCCAACAUCGCCGGAUUGGUAACGCUCCUCGAGAUCUGCAAAUCAGCGGAUCCCCAGCCAGCUAUCGUAUGGGCAUCGUCCAGCUCCGUUUACGGGCUCAACGAGAAGGUUCCCUUUUCGGAAUCGGACCGAACCGAUCAGCCAGCGAGUCUGUACGCUGCGACAAAGAAGGCCGGUGAGGAAAUUACUCAUACUUAUAAUCACAUUUACGGGCUGUCGAUUACGGGGUUAAGAUUCUUUACGGUUUACGGGCCGUGGGGUCGACCGGACAUGGCAUACUUCUCGUUUACGAGGAAUAUUUUGCAAGGGAAGCCGAUUACAGUUUACCGGGGGAAGAACCGGGUCGAUUUGGCCCGGGAUUUCACCUACAUUGACGAUAUCGUGAAGGGGUGUUUGGGGUCGUUGGAUACUUCAGGAAAGAGUACCGGUUCCGGUGGGAAGAAGACUGGUCCAGCAAAGUACCGGAUUUUCAAUUUGGGGAAUACGUCGCCGGUGACGGUGCCGAAUUUGGUGGGGAUAUUGGAGAGGCAUUUGAAGGUGAAAGCGAAGAAGAAGCUUGUGGAUAUGCCUGGAAAUGGCGACGUUCCCUUUACUCACGCCAAUACUAGUUACGCGAGGAAGGAGUUCGGUUAUAAACCGACCACUGAUCUUCAAACCGGGUUGAAGAAGUUUGUCAAGUGGUAUCUUUCCUACUACGGCUAUAAUAACGGGAAAUCUGUAAAUUAAAAACGAGAUUUGGGGUUCUUUUUUUCUUUCUUUUUUUGUUGUUGUACUUUUAGAUGAACAAAAAACUAAGAUGAAAGAAGAAGGGAUUGACUGUCAAAAGUGAAGAAUAUCCCGAUUCUGCAAUGAUUUUACAGUUGGCUCAUUGUUACCAGCUUUCAUAAACUUUGACUAAGCUACAAUGGUGAAAAGAGAAAAAUAGUGACCACGUACAGCUCAGAUGUAUUGAUGCAACUUCAAUAUAAAAAAUUAAGCUCUCUAUGAAAUCAUAUUUCAAUUUGCACCUUUACAAUCUAUUUGGCUUUCCUUCUGGAUGCUACUUCCUUGGCCCAAGCUUUGCCUACAUCUGUCUGGAAUUUCCCUGCAAAUUACAUACAAAUGUAACAACACAUUGAAAUUUGAUUAGCCCUUGUGGGUUUUUAAUAGUUAGAUGCAGACGAACUGAAAGGAAGAAACUUUGCACAUACCAGCAGUGGACUGGAAGAACUCCUCCAAAUCUUUCCCUUGUUCUGCAUUACCCAGAUAAACCAGCCCAACUUUCAGUAAAACAGCUGAGAUCAGCUUUCUCUAAGUAACUAAUAUGGCUGUUUAUGGCCAAUCAGGCAGAUGGUAGGAAGAAAACACUCACCAUUUUCAUAUUCCAAAGCCUGAAGAAUCAUCUCCACCUAGAAAUGAACAAAAACAUGAAUGCAAAACAUAAACUGUUAGUUAUACGUGAUAUGGAUAAUAUGUUUGGAUGUCUCUACAUUACCAUUAAUAACCCUUUCACUUAACCUAUCAUCAUCGACAUAUAUCGCAUACACAAAGAUGAAAAAAUGAAGUACCUUGUCAAAGUCCUUCACUAAUUUGGCUUCUGGGGAAGAAUUAUCUUCAUACUCUUUCCACAACUGCUCUAUCUCCUUAGCUACAAAAAAUGCAUAAGAAAAUCCCCUCCAAACCAUAAAAGUUACAACUAGACACAGAAAGAACAAUCACAAGCAAAGGGAUUUGAUUCUACCUCUUGAUCCUCCACCUAACAACUUGCACAUAUGAUCCAACGCUUCAGCCUCUUUCCGGCUCUUCUCCUCCUUCGGCACUCCAUCUGAUGGGGUAAUGUCACCAACUAUAGCUGGUUGAAUGAAACAUCCCAUUUGUAAGAGAACAAUUCAUUAGCUUCUCAAGUUUCAAACCGCUAAUACUACUUAGCCUAAUCUUGACAGUAUCGAACAGCACAUAGAACAGGAAAGUUUAUUAGCUCCUCUGAUUUUGAGAACCUUCCAUUGUUGAUACUACUUAGUCUAAUAAUGAACAGAACAUUGGAGAAGAAAACUCAUUAGUAUCUCCAAUUUCAAACAUUCAGUCAUGAAAAAGAAAAACGCUAGGGAUCAUCUUGCUCAGCCCUUAAUACCUUUCCAAUAGGGUAGCAAAAUCAAGAAGAUCAUAUCACAGUUCAUUAUGCUUUGUCAACGAUUUCUGAUGAUUUCCUAUACAUGAACAUAUUAACAACUGACUUACCUUCAGCUAUGUCAUGAACAAUUGCCAUCUUCACACACCUGAAAGAAUCAACGAAACCAUACAUUUAACACACAGCAUUACAACUAGUAACCGACCAAGAUUGAAAUAAAGAAAAAGGGAGAAAUCCUAACUUGUCACGAUCGAUGCCAGGAAUAUCCGGCAAAAUCAAACCCAUCAAUCCCAUUCUGUACAUAUGAUCCGCUAUCGAUUCCGGAUCCCUAACAUCCCUCUUCACCCAUCCAGCCCUCUUCGUGGUCUGAAAAUUUACGAUUAAAACCAACAAUCAAAGCAGGAAAUCUACUUACUACUAGUGCUAAAUGGGAGAACUGGGUUUUGCUUUACCUUGAGGCGGUGGCAGAGGGAGAGGAAAUCAAUGGCUGAAGAAGGGGACGCGGCGGCGUUGGUGGCGUCGGAUGGAGUAGUCUCGGCGGUUGCCAUGCGGUGGUGAGUGCAGUGAGACGGGGAAGAGGAAGCGGCGAACGAGUUGAACCGGAAGCGGGUCGUGGGAGCAGAAAAGGAGGAGGAUGAGGUGAGGAAGAGGAGUGAGCUCGAUUUACAGAGCACUGCCGCUCGAGUUGCUAUGAUCCUCAUUUUCCCUUCUUUUUCGUAUAGUUUACUUUUUUUUCUACUUAAAAAACUAUUCAUAUUCAGCUAUUUUGCAGAAUUUUCGAAUGUCAUGAUAUUUAGAUCAUAAGAAAUAAUUAAUAUUUUUAAUAUCAUGAUAUUAGAUGAUAUAAAAUUUCCAAACAAAAAGUUCGUAUUAAAUUUAUUUUUAAAAAUGAUUAAAAUAUGAGGGUUUUUUCAUUAAUAACAUAUAUUCGAGAUUACAUGAUAUUAGAAGAAUAAAUACCAAAUAUUGUUAUAUUUUGAGGUUUCUUAUCCUUUUCACUUUGGUUAUACUUCAUGUGAUCAUUGGUUUUCCCCCCACAACACAAGGUACAAACCCGUUAUCGCCAUCGCAGCUCCGAUCAACCUAUAUAACACAAACUAACAGGCGUAAGUGUAACCCUAAGAAACAUUGUUUUGAAAACCUAACCGGACCGGUCGUCUGUGAACUGGAAUCUCGCCCGAUACCAAUUUAGCGGUUUGUGAGAUUGAUCAAAGUCGGGUGUUGAUCCGAUUUGACCGUAAAAUUUAGCCGGUUCAAUUGAAAUUAUUUGGCCGGUUGGACCAAAUUUUUAUUCCUAAACUUAUUUUUUUUAAAAGAUGAGAGUGGGAUUCGGACCCUGGGUGAAUAGUGAUUACUAGCUUUACAAAUAUCAUAAUUUGAUCAAAUCAUGCAUUUAACUGAUAAUAAUAAACAUUAUUAUAAUUAAUUAAUAUAAAAUGAAUAGCUUCUAAAUUAUAUAUUAAAUUUCAAUUAUUUGAUGAAUAAAAAGUUUUAAGUCGUUUAUAUAAUUUGUUAUCGAUAUGUCCAGUUUACCACUCCUUUAUGCCACUGCUAUAGAUAUUUUACGAGUCUGUUAUGUGUUUUUCCCCAGAGCACCAUAUAAAGCCUUAUUAUCACUGCUACACCUCCGAUCAACCUAUCCAACAACACAUAUCACGAUUUUAUUAAAGCUUGAUCAGAACCCAAUUGUGUUAAUAUUCAUAACUAAGCACGUAAGUUAGGACAAGCUAAGUUACCCUCCCAAGUAAGUUUGUUCUUGGAGGAAAAUUGCAGCAAAGAUUGCAGUAAUGACUGCGCAAAGAGGGUUGAAAAUUGCAGGGAAUACUGGGCCUCUCUCACCAACACACCAAGCUUGCCCCAAGAAAGACAGUGCCAAAGCUACUCCCUAGUUUAAACACAUGCAAUUUGUAAGAAAACAACACAUUAUCGUAACAGAAAAAAUGAUGAAAAGAUAAUCUAGAGCUUACCUCAUAUAAACAACAACCGAAUUGAAAGAUGGAAUUGAGUUUCCAAGACGAGUAAUCCUUAUCCAGGAACAAAGCUAUUGUCAUUGAUUGAAUGGUAGCCAGGAAGCACAACCAAGCUGAUGAGUAUAUCAGAUCAGGGCAUGUUGCCGCUAUUGGAACCUGUCCAUGAAAAUUUAAAGUUCAAAAGGGACGAGUAUUUUGAGAUGAUCACGUGUGUGAACAUUUUUCGUUAACGGAGGUCGAAUCGCCAGAAACUUGAAUGAAAGAGUUUUCGGUGACUGGAAAUAGUGGUGAAACUGUUGAGUUUUAGGCCAACAAAAUUAUUUUAAAUACUAUAUAAUCAUGUUAUCACUGAUUAAUUUAAGCCCUUAGAUCAUAUAAAGUUUUAAGGGCUAAUAUUAAUCUUGGAACGGUACGUAUUUUGACACGAAAUUCGGACUCAUCUUCCUAUGGCAUGCACUGCCGAUGGGGACCUAGCUAGGGGGAACUUUGUAAGGCUCUGCCACACAUCAUUGAUGCUAUAAGUAGAUUGAGAGAUAACAGUUGUGGAGUUAUAUUUCAGCUGCUCGAUCGUAUCACUUGGCUGGUAAAAGACAUAUAGUUGGGAACUUAGAGGACAGAGUUGAUUGUUGCUGGGGUUCAGUGGUCCAUGAUUUGUGGCCAUGGAGCAGCCAUGCAUGAAUCUGAGUCGAGUUUUGAUUUUGGUACGAAACAAAAAGGCUAAGCAGAACUCAGUCUAUUCCAAGUACGUACCAUAAGCCUUGGCUGAUAAUGAGAGAUUGAAAUCCUGACAGUAGUAUUUAUGAAUAUUGUUUUCUCCGAAAUGAUUUGUUUUACAGACUCUGGAAUGACCAAGGUCCUUCAAUCUUUUACAUUAGAACCUAGCCGUGGGUGGGAGCUUGGCUUUUGUUCAGUCAACCUGUGGCUUGACUCUUUAAGCUACUCUCUCGUACACUAAUGAUACCAAAGAGGAAAAUCUUCAGCGUCGUUCUUGUAUUUAUGAAGCUCAUCAGCUUCUGAAACGCAGAUGAAACGCAGAUGGAGUGUGCGCUUAUUGAAUACUAGAUAAUUUUCGAAGGGAGAAUUACGGUAGCAAAAAUAAACAACAUUAAGUAUCAUCUCAAAUUGUUAUAUCAGUCUUCAUUUGGUUUUGGAGAUAUGAAAGAGCAUGUCUUGCAAGUUGAUGGACAACUUUGUUGGCCCUCGCCGGAUCAUUUGCAUCUGCAAAUGCAGGCACGCCGCUAGAAAGGCGAAAAUCUCAGCAAACACUGUGCCACUAGCAACAAACCGAGUGUAUCGCUGAGAGAGUUUGGAGAGGACCAUCUCCACGUCGCCUUCGAUGUCAACCUGCCACACCUCAUGACCAAAGCACCACGUGCAAGCAUCGCGGACGGCCAGUAGUUCUAGGACAUAAGGAUCAAGAAGUUUUGGAUACGUCCGUCCAACCCCGUGUAAAAGGUCGUCACCCGCAUUUCUAAUCACUAGACCCACCGCACUGCCAGUCGGAUCAGCCACCGCACCAUCCACAUUGAUUUUAAUGAUAGGAGAGAGUGCGCUUAUCAAAUACCUUUAGAGAGGGAAAUCAGGUCGCAAACCUGCUUGCUCAUCAAGAGCAUUUCGCUCUGUUUUGGCCUUCACCAGUUUUGGACCCUCCCUCGUGAGGUUUCUUAUUGUAUCAAUAUUGAUAUCCUGGGAGUUACAGUCCCCUGAAUUUGUUUCUAUAAUUUUUUUGACGUAAAAGGUCAAAGUCAUUAAUGAAUUGUCGAGAAACAUAAGGUCGAAAUCUUGUCGACAAGCCAGUUCGGAGGUAUAUCACCCGAAAACAGAGACGUAUGGAACGUGAAUUGUCUAGCUAAUAAAAUAAAACUCAUAAUCCCAUGCUCAUAACAAAGAGCAGCACUUUCGCACAAUUUCACCAAACUCAGUUUCAUCGUCACCCUGCUGCGUGAUAGCCGAUCAGAGUACUUGUGAGUCGCCUUUGAAUAUGACAUUGGAAACCUGCAACCCAAUUGCCCACUGGAGAGCUUCAAGAAGUGCCAAAGCCUCUCCAUCCUUCGCCGGUAGUAGCCCCAUUCUUCAUUGCAUGCGAAAAUGCAGCAGAGUACCUCGAUGAUCCCUGAUAACCAUAGAUCUACCAGUAAUUCUUAAUCGAGUUUCUGGCUUAAGCUAACAAACACAUCGGCGGUUACCAGAAAUUUGAACUCAGGCAGUCGGCGAACAAAAGGCUUGAACUCAUCGGAAGUCUUGGUUGGUAGGGACAGAAAUCCAAUCAGCAGAUUCAAAAUGUAGAUCCCGAGCCAGUAGGAGACGACUUAAAACCCUUGGACAGUGGACAUAGUAAAUCCGCUAGACGUAGAGAAUCGCCACCGAAAGGGUUCCUAGCCACCCGAGCAUCGGCUGAGGCACCGAUUUGUCGAGAUAGUGCUGGAACACCCCGGAGAAGUCGCUGCUCCACUUGACGAGCUGGGGGACGCCUUCACUUCCCGGUUCCGCCAUGGAUUCUAAUCUGAAGAGGUCGUGGCAAGGGUUUCAAAGAUGAAGAAGUAGCAAAUGGUAAGUUAGCUGGUUGCGCAAGUUAAACUGUAAUACAAUUAGGUUAUUUAAUGCCAACAUUACAUUUUUUAUUAUUUAAAAUCAAAACAACCAAUGAAAUAUCGCUAUAUAGUAUUUAUAUCGGAUACAAAUUUUCACCGAAAUAUUAUCCUUAAAGAGCGGGUCCGCCCUUUUUAUCAACAAACAGAACAUAGCGGACCGCCCAAGUUAUAACUUAUGUUACAAUCAGUAGUACAAUAAUCACUAAACGACAAAAUAUGAAGUAAACAGAUACAAAGUCAGUGAUGUGUAUAUCUAACUCCUCCUCCACGUCUCAUGUGUAUACUGUUCGAAGCAGAAAGUGUGAUAUGUAUUCAUCAAUGAAGUUGGGCAGCUUUCAAUUGAUUUAAUUACAUACAUUGCUAUCUCCAAUGGUAUUAUUGUUAUGUUUAGAUAUUAUAUAUUGAUAGUGACGGUGUGGGAUGAUCUGCUUGCCCCGAUAUUUUCAAGGUACGGAUACCCCUUAUGUGGUUGUCACUUAACCACAUUUUGAAACGUUACGUUUCGUCUGUUGGUUACUUAUGCAAAGCCUUUAAGGACAAAAUUGAUAAUCUCGUCAGUUGGUUAUGGAAAAAAUGAUAUUUGAUUUCAUUUUUUUCAAAUAAUUAUUCGGUGUAACAGGUGAUAUCUGCAAACUAAUCUGAUUACUCAUUUUAGUGGUAAAUGGAUCUGAUUUAAAAAAAAAAUAGUUAAGUUAUGAUUAGAAAAUAAACAAAUUACACAUUUUUUAAGGUAAAUAAAAUCAUAUAAUAUUUUUGCAUUGCUUUUGUUUUUAUGGUUAUAAUCAGGAUUCACCAUCACAAUUCACGAUUAGUAACAUGUCAUGAAUAUGUGCCAAAAGAAAAUUGGAGAAAUAACGGGAAGCGUAUGUAAUCAUGCAUAGCAUGAUUGUAAAAAAUGAGCGAAAUUUAUAUAUAUGUCAUUUUGAUUAUACAGAUUAUGAAAUGAAGUUUACAUAUCCAUGCCCAUCUUUUAGAAUAUGAACAAUAUUUCCGAAAUCAUUUGAAAAUUCGUGAUAAGUCCAAAAGUCAUUAUCUUCAAACAGUUUUAAUUGAAGAGAUUUGGAGCCAGUUUGGAUCUAUAUUUUGGAUACCUAGUUCGAUUGCCAUCCUCAAAAAUUAUGAAAUCUUAAGUUUUUCCUCAAGCACUCUUUCUUAUGAGCUACCCACUAACUCCAGCUCGAAACUACAAAAUUUGAGCCGGUUGGAAUGACGUGGCUACUACCAUGUGUGCGGGUAGUAGUGACUUAUCUAGCCAACAAAGUAAACUAAAAAAAGUUUUGGAGGACGAUUAUUGAGAUAAAUAUAUUGCAUUAAGAUCCGAAAAAGGAUUACAAUAUUAUAAACAAUACAUAUUGGAUUAUUUUGUACAUAACUCAAAUAUAAAGGACCAUUUCGAUCAAUUAGCCGGGCCAUCGAUAUGGUCAUUUUUAAAGUUAAAAGUCAAUAUAAGGAAUGAGACUCCAACAAAAUGUCCAUGUCUACAUAUCCACCAUCAUCUUCUCAUCCUCGAUUCACUCAAACUUGAACUAUGGUCGGCAUAUUACAAGUCAACAUACGACAACUGAAAACUCAACGCGUAAACAAAUUAAUGUUAGAAGGUAGAUAUGCAAUGGAACGCUAGUAAUGUCUGUAAAAGUGUCCAGGGAAGCCAUCUGGGUCGGGGGGAUUGCUUACCACCAAGUCCAAAGACUACCUGUUUGAUUUCCUCGUCAGACAUCUCACGUCACAAAUCAACAUUGAUAGCAUCAGAGGCGCCUUUCGGAAAGCUGCUGAGAUCGGGAAUGUCGCGAUAGUCGAGGAGAUGUUCCACCUAAAUGCAUGGUUGUUAAGAGUAAUGGGAGUAAUGGUAUCUAUUUGCAAUAGUUUCCAAAUACAUAUACGACACUGAUUCCUGGAAACCAUAACUGGACAGACAGUUAUAGGAUCCGGUAACUCAUGCAGCACCAAAAGGUUAAUAUGCCAACUUCUACGCGAUUUUCAAGCAAAGUUUUUUAAAAUUUAUUUUGAGGAACAUUCAUUGAUGGAGCCGACAAGGAGGAAUUGAAAGCAAUAGCUAUUGAAUAGUGGGAGGCAGAGGAAAUGGGAAGUGAGCAAAGGGAGGCAGCUACGAUCCGAAUUCCCAACCAUAUUACCCUCACUCAUUUAAGGCAUUGCCAGGUUGAAAUCUUUGCCAUCAUUCACACCUACGGCACUCCCAGCUGUGCCUCUUCCACCGGUAAACCUUAGACAAGGAAGUUAACACGUCUUUCAACUAAAACUUCCCAACUGCCUUCUCCUCCCCCUCUUCACCGAGUCGUACUCCAUAUGUACCAAUUCAACUGCGCGUGUAUCAUAUGGCAGAGCCCGUGUUCAACUUGCAACUCAACCGUGUAUCCAUCCCAUUAGCGGAAUCCGAAUGGAUUGCGACCUUGGGAAAAUUUCUAAGUUUGGAGUAGGUUUGACAGCAUAGUGGGUAUUCAUUACGGAAAAACAUGAUGGGUAUCAUGAACCAUUGUAUACCAAUAAUUUGAGUAAUUGACUUGUUGGAAGAAGGUUAAUCAUGAAUUUUAAACUAUUUUUGUAUAUUUCCCCUCAAAUAAAAGUAAACCGACGGAUUUAAAGUUUCCACAAGCCUACUAUACCUUGUGCUUUCAAAUCAACUGUUAAUAUUAUUGGGGUCUUGGAGAUUAAAACACAUGAUCAUUUGGUCUAAAGAAUUCGAUACCAUAUCACGAACCGUUACAUCCCAAUAACUCGAUUGUUGGGAGAAGGUUAAUUAUGUAUUUUAUACUAUUCUCUAACAAUGGGUAAAAUUCAAACUUUGGAACCGAGGGACCCAAAUUCCGCCAUUGUGUCUAUCGAUAAUCAGUUUAAAAGGAAAAACAAAGAGUAUUCAUAUAUAGUGAUAAAUUAAAUUAUUUUGAAAGGGUCUGUCCAUAAAAGUUGUUCUAUUUCUAUUAGAGGUGUGCACUCUUGUACAUUGGGGUACGAUACUUCCUACAUGGGUGGUAUCUAGACACCACAUUGUUGAUGUCAGCAUCCACGUAGGGGUACCUAUACCCUUAUGAUAUCAGACACGCUAGUACUUCUGUGGUACGGAAACCCCUACAUGCCUAUCACCUAGAGACUAACGAGACACUACAUCGUUGAUGUCCCUACAUGAGUAAACUCCCUUCUACAAUAAGGUGAUUUAACUUUCUCUCAUGAAACGAAAAAUAAUGUUACACAAAAGUACUACGAGACUGGUGUAGUUUAUUGAUAGGAGGGGGUGGUAGCACAGCAAUGACAUUAACUCUGGACUUGCCAAAUCUAUAUUGGACUUGUAUUCUUGUAGAGCUAUAUAAGUAGGUAGAUUGAAUAUCAACAGCCUCUCACAACUCUCACAAUUUCCUCAACUUGGUUUUGCUUUCUACUCUCCACUCCGACUACUCUCUCUCUCUUACUCCAGAUUUCUGUUGUUUAGUGGGGAAAAGGGAAAUUUAAGGUUGCUUUCGCAUUUCUUUCUGUUUUUGGGGGCUCUCUCUGAGUAAAAACAGAGCAACUAUACUAUGGCUGCUGCUUUGUCUGACUGGCCAUGGGAGAACCUUGGAGUGUACAAGGUAACAACAAUACAGUUACAAAAGCUCCAAACGUUUCAGUUGAUUCUUUGACAAAAUUUGAUUUGCUCAUGUGGGUUUUUUGUUGUUCCUGUUGUUGUUUUGUCCGUGUGAAGUAUUUGCUGUAUGGACCUGUGCUGGGGAAAGUAGUGUACUCGAGAUAUCAAGGUGGGUACUUGAAGCAAGAUUGGUGUUUUUACUUGGUAAUCAUUUGGUACCUCAGGAUGUGUGUCCACAUACUGUGGAGCACUUUUGUCAAUAUGCUCUUCUUCACCAAAAGCCUCAGGAUCAACAAACAUGGCUAUGAUUUCAAGCAGAUUGAUAAAGAAUGGGAUUGGUAAGUUCCUUACUUAACUCUCCCUUGAAUAACUCGUUUGUUGGAGCAGUACUUACUUAUUGUGCUGAGUACUGGUUUCCUAUUUGAUUAAUUUCAGGGACAAUUUCCUGAUCCUGCAAUCAAUGAUUGCAUCAGUGACAUGUUUGAUGUUUCCAUCUUUCUUGGAACUUCCUGUAUGGAACACAAAAGGAGUGGUCUGCAUUUUGGUGCUACAUGUAUUAAUCUCAGAGCCACUUUACUAUUGGGUUCAUAGAUGCUUCCACAAAACCUCCUUGUUCACCAAUUACCAUUCAAUUCACCACUCAUCCGCAGUUCUCCAUCCUUACACAGGUAACUAAUCUCAUCAUCUCCAAAUUCUACUACACUCAGAUCAUGAUUGAGUUUGCUUGAUCUGAUUGAAUUUCGCUUUUUCGACAGGAUCGCAUUUGUCAUUUCUGGAGCAUCUGGUGCAAGCAACAAUCAUUGGGAUCCCAAUAUUUGGAUCUGCAAUUCUUGGAUAUGGAUCGUUGGUUCCAAUGGUUGGCUAUGUUUUGGUGUUUGAUUUCCUGAGGUGUAUGGUCCAUUCCAACACUGAAGUUAUUCCUCACCAGCUCUUCCAGACUCUCCCAUUCCUCAAAUACCUCAUUUCAACACCAACGUAAGUCAAAAACAUUAUUAAUUGUUUUUGUUGAUAGCUACUAUACUUCCUUUCUUUACUGUUUCCCUCUCUAUGAAAUCACAAUUUUGUGACAUAAAAUCUCAGAGAAAAACCUAUAAAUUAGGCACUACUAGUUGAAGUUGUCCAUAUAGAAUUAUUAAGAAGAUGAUAGGGGGUCGACCUGUCAAAUCAGGACUGGGCACGGUCCCAUUUCUGGCUAAAAAUAUGCCAUCUACCACCUUGCAGUAGUUAUGCUGCCACUGUUUAUUAAUGCUUCCACGCUCUCACACCUCUGUAAAAGUUCCAACUUCCGUUAAACAGGUUGUAGUCGAGUGGUUGUAGCAUCUCAUUUUGUUCCCAGAGAUCCUGAGUUUGAAGUCCGGAAUGCACAAUCAUUCCAGCACCUCUGUGAUGACAUUGGUCUCACCUGAGUUGACAGCCGACAACUCCGUAGUUUACCUAACGACGGCAACACUCAAUGUGGUGCACGUCCAAAGGGUUUUUCGUGUAAAAAAAUAAAAGUUCCAACUCUUUUUCCUGAAUUCAUGCUGCUCAACUCUAUAUAUCUACAGUAAAAUUGACCAAGCUCUGUCUCUUUAUUUUUUACAGGUAUAAUAGUCUGCAUCAUGCUGAAAUGGGAACCAAUUUCUGCCUGUUUAUGCCAAUCUUUGAUGCAAUUUGGAAGACCCUUAACAGCAAUUCAUGGGAGCUUCACAAGAAGCAGCGUGCAAAAGCAGGUACGUAACUUAUAAGCACAUUUCUCAACUUGGUUCAAAUAAAUGCACCCUUUUCCCGGACUUUAGUAUCUGGUACAGCUAUUUUUAGGCCACUUGAUUCUGCCCCUUUUCCUCUACUUUCCGUAGGGACCAUUUCCAAAAAGAUGAUAACUUUUUUUAACAUUGAUCAUGGAUUACAAUUGGUAACCAACUCGUCACAGCCAAUCCAACAACAGAAUUGUAACUGGUUUUGUCUGGUGUUCUCAGGGAAGUAUGGCAGAGUUGCUGACUUCGUGUUCUUGGCACACGUUGUCGAUUUAUCUUCUUCAAUGCAUUCGCCCUACGUUUUCCGGACAGUUUCUUCGUUGCCGUACAAGUUCCGAGCAUUCUUGAUCCCUUACUGGCCAACAACUUUCAUGGUGAUGCUAAUGAUGUGGGCUAAAGCCAGGGUAUUCAUCCAAUCCUUCUACACCCUCAGGGGCAAGCUUCACGAGACUUGGGUUGUCCCUAGGUUUGGUUUCCAGGUACCGUCAUGGUUCCAACUUUACCUUAAUCAUUACAUUUGGAACAAAACAGUAGUAAUAACUAAUUAUAACAUGUUAUUUUGCAGUACUUCUUGCCAUUUGCCAAGGAAGGAAUCAAUAAAAGAAUUGAUGAGGCGAUUCUCAAAGCUGAUAGACUUGGAGUUAAGGUCCUGAGUCUUGCUGCACUCAAUAAGGUUAGCCAUUGAUUUAUUGUACCAAGAAAAUAAAUUAUGAGUUGGAAGGAAGGCAUUAAUGGUUCAUAUCUAUCUAUCAACCAAUGUCAUCUUCUACUAUUGAAUACUGCAACAUUGGAAUGGGGGUCCAUAAACUGUUUUGGAUAUUUAUUAUCCCAUAUUCUGGAUUAAAUUUUCAGUUAGUGUUAGUCAAAUGUAAAUUGACAUGUAACUGAUUAUUGCAGAAUGAAGCUCUGAAUGGAGGUGGAACGUUGUUUGUAAACAAGCAUCCUGAUCUUCGAGUCCGAAUCGUCCAUGGCAACACGUUGACUGCAGCAGUGAUUCUUAACGAGAUUGGAGAUGAAAUUGAAGAAGUCUUCCUAACAGGAGCUACUUCCAAGCUUGGAAGAGCAAUUGCUCUUUACCUUUGUAGGCGUAGAGUUCGAGUUCUCGUACGUUUUCCUUGAAACCAUUUUCAUCUAACUAGGAUCGAUGAUCGGUACACUAAUUAGUAACGCGAUAUACAGAUGCUGACGCUAUCUACCGAGAGAUUUCAGAAGAUUCAGAAAGAAGCACCAGUGGAAUGCCAGAGUUACUUGGUGCAAGUUACUAAGUAUCAGGCUGCUAGAAAUUGCAAGGUGAGGAGAACAUUUUUUUGCUUAAUGCAUUUUGAGGUCACUAUUGUUUGUUUUUUUGACAUUUUUGCCCUUUUUAAAAUUGGGCUGGUAAUAGACAUGGAUAGUGGGCAAGUGGAUCACACCAAGAGAGCAAAAUUGGGCCCCUUCAGGAGCCCAUUUCCAUCAGUUUGUUGUCCCGCCCAUUUUGGCAUUCAGGAAGGAUUGCACCUAUGGGGACCUUGCUGCCAUGAGAUUGCCUCAUGAUGUUGAAGGUCUUGGAUGUUGUGAGGUAAGAGACCCUUUAGUAAUCACCAUCACUAUCUUAAUAAACUCUCAGCUUUGAUUCAUAACUUGUUAUACACUUUCGACAUGAUUCAGUACACGAUGGACCGCGGAGUGGUGCACGCGUGCCACGCGGGAGGGGUGGUGCACUUCCUAGAAGGGUGGAAGCACCACGAAGUUGGAGCGAUAGAUGUCGACAGGAUUGAUCUUGUGUGGAAUGCUGCAAUGAAGCAUGGAUUGAAGCCUGUCUCCAACAUGAACAAAUCGAAACAAACAUAGAUUAUUAAUUAUAAUGAUGUAUUGCUUCUAAUUUUUAGUGUAUUAUAGUAGCAUAAAAUGCAAUCAAAAUUUGCAGGGAUUGACAUUAAAGCAUAAAAUGCUGUGUUCUACAGAGAUGAAUGAAUGGAAAGGAAUGAGUAAACAGAAAGUCUUCUAUCUAGUUGUUCUUUGCAAAUACUGGUUGGGGAAGUUCAAUUCAUGUUGUAAUGUUGUGUAAUCUCGUCUAGUCGUUAGACCAUUAAUUUGACAAGAUUAUAAGCUUCAACUUAACGAUGAGCCUACCAUUCAAUUGAAUCAUCAACUUGGCAGCAACACAGAGUAUGUCCCUGAAACCUCUCGUUGGUCGAUUCGCUAGCGACCGGAAAUGCUCUGCUUCAACGAUGAAACACCAUGUUACUCGUCUAUGAAAAUUGUCUGCGGAACACUUCCCAACCCAACCCCUCACAAUCCACUUGCGCCGUACCGAUACACUCACCACCCGGUUUCUGACCCGGCCCAAUCCCCUAUUCAAAACUUAAGAGGUUUACUUCAGAUUUCCUCCCUCAAUUUUAGAAAAAAACACCUUCAAUACCCCAAAUAUUUAUAGUCUUUCUUCUUCUUCUUCUCAUUUAUUUUUUUGUGUUUAUGUUGGUCGCUUUAAUUUGCUCAAGUGCGGUUUGAUUCGGCUUUUGAUUGUUUUAUCCUGGGAGAAAAACGUUAUUGUGUAGGACGAAUCUAGUUUAAGAAAAUUGUAUAAGACUUCAAUUUUAAUUUGUUUAUGUUUAUUCUAAUCAACGUUAUUUUGUCCAACGUACACUAGCAUGAUGUACCAUGAUUAGUGUGAUGUGAUGAAGGUGAUUAGAACCACUAUGACGCUCAACGGUUGUAAUGAGUCUUGAGAUGAAACCCUAGGCGACCUUCCUAGCCUUGACAUUGACCCCUGGUUGGGCCUUUAAGAUUAGGUGACGCUCUCUCCGCCAAAUUCAAGUCAUCGCUUGACAAACGGCUAAGAUGAUGUGGGUUGGUUAUCAAGAGAAUGACCAUGACCACUUGAGUGUUCUGGCUAUCCAAACCUGAAGCCUAUCUAUCAAUAAUGGCUCGGGUUGGGGCCUAUCAGUAGCUACCUAGGGGCCGUUUGGAGAAGGUCAUGACAAACGAAUUGUGAGAUUCCAUGCCCUGAAAUUGAUCCUGUGUUUAUCCCGAUCAAUUAAGUUGAGAGCAGUUUUAAACCCAAACCCAAACUCAAACACUAAACCCAAAUUCAAAACGAAACAAAUAUAAAAUGAUGUUGAAAAGACUUCUGUACCCUUUUUAUUCAGACCGUUAGAUCUAAAAUCCUUGAGAUCUAACGGUCCAUGAACGUCCUAAAAAUUUCAAAAUCCUUUUUCGUCUGGAUUCCAAACCUGCUCCGAUCUAAGUUGAAUCAAGAGUUCACCCACCCGGCUGUAAUCAUUCAAAGAACACAAGAAAUGACUUUUAUGCAAGGAAUGAAUUGUGUGGGACCCAUUGUACCACCCGUCGCACCAAUGAACAUGUUCCCUCUUUUAUCCAUCUCCCUCCCAAAAUCAACGUCCACUCAAAGCAUUACAUNNNNNNNNNNNNNNNNNNNNNNNNNUAAUUGAUGACGUAGUGCCAUGCCAGGACAUCAUAUUAUUAUUAUUAUUAUUAUUAUUAUUAUUAUUAUUAUUAUAUAAUGUAUAAAUUCAUUAGUACUAGUGUGGGCCUUAUUAUUACGGUUUAAGAUGUGUGAACAUCAAUCUUCCUCGCGAAACAUAGCCCCUAAUAAUAACAGGAUAUUAUUCUGUCAUUUAACAUAACAUCAAGAACCGAAAGUGAUGGAUUGUGAGUCAUGACUAUUAUCAUUAUUCUUUUAUUUUUAUGGAUACAAUAGGAGUCCAGAUUUCGAGUCGGAAAAUGGCUUUUAGAUCUGGUUUACAAAAGCCUGCUCAAAAUUAUGUCUUAGAUCUAGCGGCUGAAAAUACAGGGUAGAAUUGACAUUUUAUAGCCAUGCAAAUGUAUAUAGUAAGUGUUGUAUACAAAUAUGUGUAUGAUACUUAGUAUAGUGCAUAGUAUUACACUUAGUAUGAAAACCAUACAAAUAUACAUACACUUUUUUACAAGUUUGUACAAACCUAUACACACUUGUAUGAUCCGUACAACUCUUGGUACAAAGUUGUUCAACCGGUCUUGGAAAAUAUUUUCAAAAAUAAUAAUUUUUCCAUAAACGCGGAAAUGGUCAUGUGGAUGCUACACUUUUCGUCAACAGGGUCGGAAUCACCGAGAAGCUGAUCAGGAAACUUUCCGAUGUUCAUAGACGACCGGCAAUUAAACAAACAAACAUAUUUAAAACAGCAUGACCAUAUUACCCCUAAUUAAUCGAAACCCUUAGAACAUGUGGAGAUCUACGGGCCCCGAUUGUUCGUGGGUCGUAUCAUGCAAAACUAAUUAUUAUCCAUAUAUAUAUAUAUAUGUCAUGUGCUAAUGACAUACAGCCAUCCAUCAAUUAAUUGGUGGUUGAUUGGUAUUGGUCACUCACUCGAGUUUCAGUGAACGUAGAGAGUCAACUAAACCAAGCAAGAAACGAGAAAAUAUUUAUUAAAUAAUUUAUUGCCAUUAUAUGAAACAUCCACGUUCACGGGGGGGCAUCCGUAACAAAUCAAAGUUAGGAAACAAUUGUUUCAGUCAACUACAAAUAUUUGGGUCCUGGACAUAGACACCCUUGAUUCCACUCCACAUAAAUCUCACUUGAUUCCAGAAAUCCGCACAUAUAUAAUCGAUGUCUAAUUACUUGAUUAUUAGAUUUAUAUUGACCGCAUUAAAGCGGUUCGAGUGACAAUCUGAUGUGACCAAGCUCGAGUUUUUCGUUGAUAAAAUUUUUUAUCAACAUGUUUUGUGCAAACCCCUAAACAUUAAAAUUCUACGUGCAUGAUCAUCAUUUUUAGCCCUAUUUUUCUAGUAAGACAAUUUAUAAUGAGUUUUUUGUGAUUUGAAAAGUUUAUAAUUAAAUUUAUAGUCGAAGAUUAGUUUCCAAUUCUUGGACCAUUGACAAAAAACAAUGAAUUUUUUAGAAACCCCUUCAUGGAUAUCAUUCGGGAUAGAGUAUAGGGUGGAAAGAAAAAAGUACAAAGUAGAAUUUUAUUGCAUAGUUUGCAUAGUUAAAAUUUUGUGUUUAGGAAUUUAAUAUUAACUAUUGAGAUUUGAUAUAUUAAUGUGCAUGGUACAUUCAAUACUAAAUUUUAAAUUUUAAAUAUUUCAUAUUCAACUCUAAACUCUAAAAGAUAAUGUUAAACCCCUAAAUGCUAAAUUCUAACCCUUAAAUAUUUUAUUCUAAAAUUAAAUUCUUAAUCGUACUUCACUCUGACUUUUGACCAUAAAUAUAAAUUAAUCAAUCAUAAAUAUUUUAUUUAGACUCUAAACACUAACCACUAUAUUUUCAUAAACUCUAAACACUAAAAAAAACCUUAAAACUCUUAAUUUUAAACAUAGUAUAUAACAAAAAUAUAAUAAAAUAUCGUGUACACUAAUACACUAAUUAAGAUUGUUUACUUACAAAUUUAAAUUAAUAAAAGUGUAAAUUAAAUUGUACCCAUAUUUGAGGUAUCAAAGCGCUUUCUAUAUAAUGUACAAAAAAAUUAUGAAAAUAAAAGUAAAUAAAAAAAGAAGGUGAAAGUCAGGGGCAAUAGAACAAAGGAGUAUAUAUUUUCGGUGGUGGGACAUGUUCAGCCAUGUGCAUGCAUGUGCUGUGUCUUUCUCCCACACUCAUUUGGGCCCUACCUCCUCCUCCUCUUCUUCUUCUUCUCCUUCUUCUUCUUCUCCUUCUUCUUCUUCUUCGCCAAUCGCCCUUCCCCUCCUGCAAAUAAAUUAAGCCCCCUGCUACUCUUUCCUUUUCUUUCUUGGAUCUGCAGACCCUCGACAUUUAUUAUUACUAUUAUAAAUUACAGCAGCUCCCUCAGUUCACCAAAACAAGGCAGAAGCAGAGAUAAAGAUAUUCUUCAUUCUUCUUGGGCACUACGUACGUAUGUUGUUUCUGCACUAAGUAUCCUCCCUCUCCUCAACCCUACGUACCCUCCAUUCAUAUAAUCAGGUAGGUAAUUAAUUAAGCUUGCGUCGUCUCUCAUUAAACCCUACAUGCUUGUAUAUUAUACAGUCUUCUUAAUCGCUCUCCCUUCUCCCUGCUGCUCCUCUUUCUAUUUCAUGAUUAUAAGAACAAUGCUAGCUAGCUUUUUCUUAAGAUGAUAUCACUCCAAAUCAAAAUUUCAUUGAUUAUUCUUUAUAUAUAUAUGAGGAGAUCAAAUUCUCAUGUAAAAUCUGCAAAUUCAAACAACUUUGCCAAAAAAAAUAUUCAAUUAAUUUCUAAAAUUUAAAUUGAUUACUAAUCAUAUAUGUAACUGUUUGCAUCAUAAUUAUUCGAGUUGUUGGGAAAGGGUUCGGUUUGAUAGUUAUAUUAUUCAUAUUAACACGCCCACCUCAAACAGAAACUCUCAAAAGAGCUGAGGUUUGCACAGUUUCAUUAUGUAAAUCAGGUUCACGGAAUGGGGGCUACCUGAUACGAAACGAAAAUCUUUCAGUCUUUUUUAUGUUUUGAUAUCAUGUCAAGAACUAUUGGGGGAGGGUUCUGAUUGAUAAAAUAUAUUAUUUAUUAACGAUAACAACAAUUUUCGGAGAGAAAAAAAUGAUUACUCUUAUUGUGAAUUUCGAUACUCGUGUAACAUUUUUAUGGGCAUCAAUUAUAAAAAAAAAUCUCUAUGGACAUGUUUGUCAAAGUUUUUAAGAAUCAAUCAUAACAGUGAACGUACUUUAUAACAACAAAUGUAAAUAAUUAAUUAACAGAGUAUUUUUGUGUCUAGGCUUAAUUUACAGUUUUGAGGGGUAGGAAUGCGUUCUCCAACCUCAUUGAAGCGAGAAUUCCUAAAGAAAUGGAUACUAGCUCUUCAACUAUGUAACCGCACCAACAAGUCGAAAAGUAGUAGUACUGUCACGGAGAGGAAGAAGACGAUCAAACUAUCAGCCGAAAUAGCAAUGGCCACGGCAAGAAACGGCGCCACGUGUUGGAGCCGCGCAAUCAUCGCCAAUGCGGCCAAGUCGGAGGAGGCCAAACCCUUCCUCAGCCUCCUCGUCGGCACGCAACAACAGCAGCAGUGUGCUGCGAGUUCCGGGGCCGGAAGGCCGAAGAAGAAGCGGAUGGUGACGACGAGGUGCAAGAAGAUAGUAAAGAGGAGCUGCCGGAGAAGAAGCAUUAACGUGGUGGCGGCGGCGGCUCCGGAAAAGGUGGCGAAAUGGAUGGCAAAGAGGAGGAGGAAGAAGUCGACGGAGGUGCUGAAGAGGAUAGUGCCAGGAGGGGAGUUGAUUGGCGAUGACGUGGCGUUGAUUCUUGAAACCCUAGACUACAUGGUGUCACUCCGAGCUCAGGUCCAAGUUAUGAGAUGUCUUGUUCGAGCUGCAGCUGGCUCUGGUUUUCAGGAUAUUGUUUGAUCCAGACGUCAAAGCACAAGGGUAUUUGUGUCAUAUAGAUAUAUUGUAAUAUGUAACUAUAUUAUAUACGUACGUACGUUAAGGGUUAUAUUAUAUAUAUUUCAAAUACAUAUUUUUAUACUCAUCCUUACAUACCCAUGUAAGGAUGAGAUGGUUAUUUGCGGACUAUUAGAUCAUUUUAACAAGAAAUCGCUAGUCCGAGUCCGGUUGGCCUAAUGUCAUAUAACAUUUUGAGAAAACCAUAAUGCAUAAUGUCAUAUACAUGUAUAUUUUAACUCAAUAUUAGGUUUAAAUAAUAUAAUUUUUAUUCAAAUCCGACUCCAUGCAUGUUUCCACGAUACUAAUUCGGCACAACUCUCCAUAAAGCGGUCUAGUAUGUCAUUAAAAUUGGUAACCAACUAAUGUGAUUCAAGUCUCAAUCGUGUGAAAAUCGAGUUCCUCCAAAUAAAACUAAUGCCGAAUAGGGGACUAGUGACUUAGCUUGACAGAUAGCUUUCAAUAAGUAUAGUAUAGGAGGAACAUGGUCGUCAGUUGAAUUCUUUUUAUAGCUAGAGGAGAGGGGGGGUUGUGUGAGUGAAUUAUUGAGUAUAUUAUAGGUGGUGGUGGUGGCG